Molecule: ribosomal RNA, 937 nt
Filed under: [Candida] sp.
Lineage: Eukaryota; Fungi; Ascomycota; Saccharomycetes; Saccharomycetales
Description: SSU rRNA
Rfam family: Eukaryotic small subunit ribosomal RNA
Source: RNAcentral
CCGUGGUAAUUCUAGAGCUAAUACAUGCUUAAAAUCCCGACUUCNGNAAGGGAUGUAUUUAUUAUAUAAAAAAUCAAUGCCUUCGGGCUCUUUGAUGAUUCAUAAUAACUUUUCGAAUCGCAUGGCCUUGUGCUGGCGAUGGUUCAUUCAAAUUUCUGCCCUAUCAACUUUCGAUGGNAGGAUAGUGGCCUACCAUGGUUUCAACGGGUAACGGGGAAUAAGGGUUCGAUUCCGGAGAGGGAGCCUGAGAAACGGCUACCACAUCCAAGGAAGGCAGCAGGCGCGCAAAUUACCCAAUCCCGACACGGGGAGGUAGUGACAAUAAAUAACGAUACAGGGCCCUUUUGGGUCUUGUAAUUGGAAUGAGUACAAUGUAAAUACCUUAACGAGGAACAAUUGGAGGGCAAGUCUGGUGCCAGCAGCCGCGGUAAUUCCAGCUCCAAAAGCGUAUAUUAAAGUUGUUGCAGUUAAAAAGCUCGUAGUUGAACCUUGGGCUUGGUUAGCCGGUCCAUCUUCAUGAUGCGUACUGGACCUAACCGAGCCUUUCCUUCUGGCUAGCCUUUUGGCGAACCAGGACUUUUACUUUGAAAAAAUUAGAGUGUUCAAAGCAGGCCUUUGCUCGAAUAUAUUAGCAUGGAAUAAUAGAAUAGGACGUUAUGGUUCUAUUUUGUUGGUUUCUAGGACCAUCGUAAUGAUUAAUAGGGACGGUCGGGGGUAUCAGUAUUCAGUUGUCAGAGGUGAAAUUCUUGGAUUUACUGAAGACUAACUACUGCGAAAGCAUUUACCAAGGACGUUUUCAUUAAUCAAGAACGAAAGUUAGGGGAUCGAAGAUGAUCAGAUACCGUCGUAGUCUUAACCAUAAACUAUGCCGACUAGGGAUCGGUUGUUGUUCUUUUAUUGACGCAAUCGGCACCUUACGAGAAAUCAAAGUCUUUGG